UUACUGGGCGNAAAGCGAGCGCAGACGGUUACUUAAGCAGGAUGUGAAAUCCCCGGGCUCANCCUGGGAACUGCGUUCUGAACUGGGUAGCUAGAGUAUNUCAGAGGGGGGUAGAAUUCCACGUGUAGCAGUGAAAUGCGUAGAGAUGUGGAGGAAUACCGAUGGCGAAGGCAGCCCCCUGGGAUAAUACUGACGUUCAUGCUNGAAAGCGUGGGUAGCAAACAGGAUUAGAUACCCUGGUAGUCCACGCCCUAAACGAUGUCGAUUAGCUGUUGGGCAGCUUGACUGCUUAGUAGCGUAGCUAACGCGUGAAAUCGACCGCCUGGGAGUACGGUCGCAAGAUUAAAACUCAAAGGAAUUGACGGGGACCCGCACAAGCGGUGGAUGAUGUGGAUUAAUUCGAUGCAACGCGAAGAACCUUACCUGGUCUUGACAUGUACGGAACCUUCCAGAGACGGAAGGGUGCCUUCGGGAGCCGUAACACAGGUGCUGCAUGGCUGUCGUCAGCUCGUGUCGUGAGAUGUUGGGUUAAGUCCCGCAACGAGCGCAACCCUUGUCAUUAGUUGCCAUCAUUCAGUUGGGCACUCUAAUGAGACUGCCGGUGACAAACCGGAGGAAGGUGGGGAUGACGUCAAGUCCUCAUGGCCCUUAUGACCAGGGCUUCACACGUCAUACAAUGGUCGGUACAAAGGGUAGCCAAGCCGCGAGGCGGAGCCAAUCUCAUAAAACCGAUCGUAGUCCGGAUUGCACUCUGCAACUCGAGUGCAUGAAGUCGGAAUCGCUAGUAAUCGCAGGUCAGCAUACUGCGGUGAAUACGUUCCCGGGUCUUGUACACACCGCCCGUCACACCAUGGGAGUGGGGGAUACCAGAAGUAG
Molecule: ribosomal RNA, 876 nt
Filed under: uncultured bacterium
Lineage: Bacteria
Description: bacterial SSU rRNA
Rfam family: Bacterial small subunit ribosomal RNA
Source: RNAcentral